Molecule: ribosomal RNA, 300 nt
Filed under: Triticum aestivum (bread wheat)
Lineage: Eukaryota; Viridiplantae; Streptophyta; Magnoliopsida; Poales; Poaceae
Description: partial small subunit ribosomal RNA
Source: RNAcentral
AUGGAUUUGAGGUUGGGCUACCAUCAAAUCAAAAUCAGAAACGGGGACAUUCCUAAAACGGCCUUUGUUACUCGUUAUGGCCAAUACGAGUACACCGUCAUGUCUUUCGGUUUAACCAACGCUCCAGCCACCUUUUCUCGGUUAAUGAACUCAAUCUUCAUGGAGUAUUUGGAUAAAUUCGUCGUGGUUUACCUAGAUGAUAUACUCAUCUACUCCAAGAACGAGGAAGAACAUGCCGAACAUCUAAGGCUAGUGUUGAAGAAACUUCGAGAGCACCGCCUUUAUGCCAAGUUUUCCUAA